Molecule: ribosomal RNA, 537 nt
Filed under: Pediococcus pentosaceus
Lineage: Bacteria; Bacillati; Bacillota; Bacilli; Lactobacillales; Lactobacillaceae
Description: bacterial SSU rRNA
Rfam family: Bacterial small subunit ribosomal RNA
Source: RNAcentral
UUAUGACGUACUUGUACUGAUUGAGAUUUUAACACGAAGUGAGUGGCGAACGGGUGAGUAACACGUGGGUAACCUGCCCAGAAGUAGGGGAUAACACCUGGAAACAGAUGCUAAUACCGUAUAACAGAGAAAACCGCAUGGUUUUCUUUUAAAAGAUGGCUCUGCUAUCACUUCUGGAUGGACCCGCGGCGUAUUAGCUAGUUGGUGAGGUAAAGGCUCACCAAGGCAGUGAUACGUAGCCGACCUGAGAGGGUAAUCGGCCACAUUGGGACUGAGACACGGCCCAGACUCCUACGGGAGGCAGCAGUAGGGAAUCUUCCACAAUGGACGCAAGUCUGAUGGAGCAACGCCGCGUGAGUGAAGAAGGGUUUCGGCUCGUAAAGCUCUGUUGUUAAAGAAGAACGUGGGUAAGAGUAACUGUUUACCCAGUGACGGUAUUUAACCAGAAAGCCACGGCUAACUACGUGCCAGCAGCCGCGGUAAUACGUAGGUGGCAAGCGUUAUCCGGAUUUAUUGGGCGUAAAGCGAGCGCAGGCG